GCGGGGGUAACUCAGUUGGUAGAGUGCCUGCCUUCCAAGCAGGUCGUCGCGGGUUCGAGUCCCGUCCCCCGCU
This 73-nucleotide transfer RNA is filed under the name Chloroflexota bacterium. Its description in RNAcentral is "Chloroflexi bacterium (freshwater metagenome) tRNA-Gly". It matches the Rfam family "tRNA". Rfam says of the family: Transfer RNA (tRNA) molecules are approximately 80 nucleotides in length. Their secondary structure includes four short double-helical elements and three loops (D, anti-codon, and T loops). The record is from RNAcentral. Lineage: Bacteria; Bacillati; Chloroflexota.